This 497-nucleotide ribosomal RNA is filed under the name uncultured bacterium. Its description in RNAcentral is "partial 16S ribosomal RNA". It matches the Rfam family "Bacterial small subunit ribosomal RNA", at positions 28 to 507 of the family's 1533-position model. The record is from RNAcentral.
GAUGAACGCUGGCGGCGUGCCUAAUACAUGCAAGUCGAGCGAACAGACGAGGAGCUUGCUCCUCUGACGUUAGCGGCGGACGGGUGAGUAACACGUGGAUAACCUACCUCUAAGACUGGGAUAACUUCGGGACACCGGAGCUAAUACCGGAUAAUAUAUUGAACCGCAUGGUUCAAUAGUGAAAGACGGUUUUGCUGUCACUUAUAGAUGGAUCCGCGCCGCAUUAGCUAGUUGGUAAGGUAACGGCUUACCAAGGCAACGAUGCGUAGCCGACCUGAGAGGGUGAUCGGCCACACUGGAACUGAGACACGGUCCAGACUCCUACGGGAGGCAGCAGUAGGGAAUCUUCCGCAAUGGGCGAAAGCUUGACGGAGCAACGCCGCGUGAGUGAUGAAGGUCUUCGGAUCGUAAAACUCUGUUAUUAGGUAAGAACAAAUGUGUAAGUAACUAUGCACGUCUUGACGGUACCUAAUCAGAAAGCCACGGCUAACUACGUG